Molecule: long non-coding RNA, 262 nt
Organism: Ornithodoros turicata
Lineage: Eukaryota; Metazoa; Arthropoda; Arachnida; Ixodida; Argasidae
Exons: 3
Source: RefSeq, a predicted model, not a curated record
GCGCCGAUCGGAGACGAUUGCUGAAGCCAACAGCAGUGCCCACAAAGUUCGACUGCAGCGAAACUGAACGACAAGGACGACGUCAAAAGAAGCGAUCCAACCAAGAAAACGAGGACCCGACUUCUAGAGCUGGAUCUGAAGUUCGUUCCCCCGAGUUCCCUCACAUGCUGUCACCAGCUGGCGUGCAAGGAGUCAGAGCACCAAGACCAGCCACAAGUUUCUUCUCGGAUGCAACAAAUAGGGUGGGCUUUGUUCCAAGUGC